GUGGGGAAUAUUGGACAAUGGGCGAAAGCCUGAUCCAGCCAUGCCGCGUGUGUGAAGAAGGUCUUCGGAUUGUAAAGCACUUUAAGUUGGGAGGAAGGGCAGUAAGUUAAUACCUUGCUGUUUUGACGUUACCGACAGAAUAAGCACCGGCUAACUUCGUGCCAGCAGCCGCGGUAAUACGAAGGGUGCAAGCGUUAAUCGGAAUUACUGGGCGUAAAGCGCGCGUAGGUGGUUUUGUAAGUUGGAGGUGAAAUCCCCGGGCUCAACCUGGGAACUGCCUCAAAAAAUGCAUGACUAGAGUACGGUAGAGGGUAGUGGAAUUUCCUGUGUAGCGGUGAAAUGCGUAGAUAUAGGAAGGAACACCAGUGGCGAAGGCGACUACCUGGACUGAUACUGACACUGAGGUGCGAAAGCGUGGGGAGCAAACAGGAUUAGAUACCCCAGUAGUCC
RNAcentral lists this ribosomal RNA (450 nucleotides) under uncultured bacterium. RNAcentral describes it as "partial 16S ribosomal RNA". It matches the Rfam family "Bacterial small subunit ribosomal RNA", at positions 354 to 796 of the family's 1533-position model. The record is from RNAcentral.